GAUGAACGCUGGCGGCGUGCCUAAUACAUGCAAGUCGAGCGAACAGACGAGGAGCUUGCUCCUCUGACGUUAGCGGCGGACGGGUGAGUAACACGUGGAUAACCUACCUAUAAGACUGGGAUAACUUCGGGAAACCGGAGCUAAUACCGGAUAAUAUAUUGAACCGCAUGGUUCAAUAGUGAAAGACGGUUUUGCUGUCACUUAUAGAUGGAUCCGCGCCGCAUUAGCUAGUUGGUAAGGUAACGGCCUACCAAGGCAACGAUGCGUAGCCGACCUGUGAGGGUGGUCGGCCACACUGGAACGGAGACACGGUCCAGACUCCUACGGGAGGCAGCAGUAGGGAAUCUUCCGCAAUAGGCGAGAGCCUGACGGAGCAACGCCGCGUGAGUGAUGACGGUCUUCGGAUCGUAAAACUCUGUUAUUAGGGAAGAACAAAUGUGUAAGUAACUAUGCACGUAUUGACGGUACCGAAUCAGAAAGCCACGGCUAACUACGUG
This 497-nucleotide ribosomal RNA is filed under the name uncultured bacterium. RNAcentral describes it as "partial 16S ribosomal RNA". It matches the Rfam family "Bacterial small subunit ribosomal RNA", at positions 28 to 507 of the family's 1533-position model. The record is from RNAcentral.